CCUACGGGUGGCAGCAGUGGGGGAUAUUGCACAAUGGGGGGAACCCUGAUGCAGCGACGCCGCGUGAAUGAAGAAGUGCCUCGGUGCGUAAACUCCUGUCAGCAGGGAAGAAAAUGACGGUACCUGACGAAGAAGCCCCGGCUAACUACGUGCCAGCAGCCGCGGUAAUACGUAGGGGGCAAGCGUUAUCCGGAUUUACUGGGUGUAAAGGGGGCGCAGGCGGCGAUGCAAGUCAGGAGUGAAAGCCCGGGGCUCAACCCCGGGACUGCUCUUGAAACUGGUUGGCUGGAUUGCAGGAGAGGCAGGCGGAAUUCCUGGUGUAGCGGUGAAAUGCGUAGAUAUCAGGAGGAACACCAGUGGCGAAGGCGGCCUACUGGACUGCAACUGACGUUGAGGCCCGAAAGCGUGGGGAGCAAACAGGAUUAGAUACCCCAGUAGUC
This 440-nucleotide ribosomal RNA is filed under the name uncultured bacterium. RNAcentral describes it as "partial 16S ribosomal RNA". It matches the Rfam family "Bacterial small subunit ribosomal RNA", at positions 338 to 795 of the family's 1533-position model. The record is from RNAcentral.